GUGCUCGCUUCGGCAGCACAUAUACUAAAAUUGGAAUGAUAUAGAGAAGAUUAGUAUGGAUCCUGUGCAAAGAUGACAAGCAAACUCGUGAGGCAUUCAGUAUUUAA
This is a small nuclear RNA of Ailuropoda melanoleuca (giant panda), 107 nucleotides long. The record is from Ensembl. NCBI's taxonomy places the organism in Eukaryota, Metazoa, Chordata, Mammalia, Carnivora, Ursidae.